CCUACGGGAGGCAGCAGUGAGGAAUAUUGGUCAAUGGCCGCAGGGCUGAACCAGCCAAGUCGCGUGAGGGAUGACGGUCCUAUGGAUUGUAAACCUCUUUUGUCAGGGAGCAAAGGGCGCCACGUGUGGCGUUUUGCGAGUACCUGAAGAAAAAGCAUCGGCUAACUCCGUGCCAGUAGCCGCGGUAAUACGGAGGAUGCGAGCGUUAUCCGGAUUUAUUGGGUUUAAAGGGUGCGCAGGCGGAAUGUCAAGUCAGCGGUAAAAUUUCGGGGCUCAACCCCGUCGUGCCGUUGAAACUGGCGGUCUUGAGUGAGCGAGAAGUAUGCGGAAUGCGUGGUGUAGCGGUGAAAUGCAUAGAUAUCACGCAGAACUCCGAUUGCGAAGGCAGCAUACCGGCGCUCAACUGACGCUCAUGCACGAAAGCGUGGGUAUCGAACAGGAUUAGAUACCCGUGUAGUC
Molecule: ribosomal RNA, 459 nt
Filed under: uncultured bacterium
Lineage: Bacteria
Description: partial 16S ribosomal RNA
Rfam family: Bacterial small subunit ribosomal RNA
Source: RNAcentral